UCAUCCGCUAGGGUUAAACACAUGCAGGUCAUUAUUAAUGGGUUUCGUAUGUAAUAUGACAUUUUUAGUUAUUUAUGCCUCCCAUUGUUGGGUAACUUGAGUUUCAUCCAUUCUGAGACUGGGAGAGUUUACUGUAAAUAUAGUUAGGUAGUGGUCUGACCUAGUGGUUGACUGGGAGAGUUUACUGUAAAUAUAACUAGGCAGUGGUCUGACCUAGUGGUUGACUGGGAGAGUUUACUGUAAAUAUAGUUAGGUAGUGGUCUGACCUAGUGGUUGACUGGGAGGGUUUACUGUAAAUAUAACUAGGCAGUGGUCUGACCUAGUGGUUGACUGGGAGGGUUUACUGUAAAUAUAGUUAGGUAGUGGUCUGACCUAGUGGUUGAUUGGGAGGGGUUUCUGUAAAUAUAGUUAGGUAGUGGUCUGACCUAGUGGUUGACUGGGAGGGUUUACUGUAAAUAUAGUUAGGUAGUGGUCUGACCUAGUGGUUGACUGGGAGAGUUUACUGUAAAUAUAGUUAGGUAGUGGUCUGACCUAGUGGUUGACUGGGAGAGUUUACUGUAAAUAUAGUUAGGUAGUGGUCUGACCUAGUGGUUGACUGGGAGGGUUUACUGUAAAUAUAGUUAGGUAGUGGUCUGACCUAGUGGUUGACUGGGAGGGUUUUCUGUAAAUAUAGUUAGGUAGUGGUCUGACCUAGUGGUUGACUGGGAGGGUUUACUGUAAAUAUAGUUAGGUAGUGGUCUGACCUAGUGGUUGACUGGGAGGGUUUACUGUAAAUAUAGUUAGGUAGUGGUCUGACCUAGUGGUUGACUGGGAGGGUUUACUGUAAAUAUAGUUAGGUCUGACCUAGUGGUUGACUGGGAGAGUUUACUGUAAAUAUAGUUAGGUAUUGGUCUGACCUAGUGGUUGACUGGGAGGGUUUACUGUAAAUAUAGUUAGGUAGUGGUCUGACCUAGUGGUUGACUGGGAGGGUUUACUGUAAAUAUUGUUAGGUAGUGGUCUGACCUCUAGUGGUUGACUGGGAGAGUUUACUGUAAAUAUAGUUAGGUAUUGGUCUGACCUAGUGGUUGACUGGGAGAGUUUACUGUAAAUAUAGUUAGGUAUUGGUCUGACCUAGUGGUUGACUGGGAGAGUUUACUGUAAAUAUAGUUAGUUAGGUAGUGGUCUGACCUAGUGGUUGACUGGGAGGGUUUACUGUAAAUAUUGUUAGGUAGUGGUCUGACCUAGUGGUUGACUGGGAGGGUUUACUGUAAAUAUAGUUAGGUAGUGGUCUGACCUAGUGGUUGACUGGGAGAGUUUAAUGUAAAUAUUAUUAGGUAUUGGUCUGACCUAGUGGUUGACUGGGAGAGUUUACUGUAAAUAUAGUUAGUUAGGUAGUGGUCUGACCUAGUGGUUGACUGGGAGGGUUUACUGUAAAUAUUGUUAGGUAGUGGUCUGACCUAGUGGUUGACUGGGAGGGUUUACUGUAGAUAUAGUUAGGUAGUGGUCUGACCUAGUGGUUGACUGGGAGAGUUUAAUGUAAAUAUUAUUAGGUAUUGGUCUGACCUAGUGGUUGACUGGGAGGGUUUACUGUAAAUAUAGUUAGGUAGUGGUCUGCCCUAGUGGUUGACUGGGAGGAUUUACUGUAAAUAUUGUUAGGUAGUGGUCUGACCUCUAGUGGUUUGAUUGGGGAACUUGCCUCUUAUCCAAUGGAAACACACCUCUACUUUCAACUAUGUUCAACCAUCAAAAUGUGUCGUCUUUGUGAAUUGUUCAACACAGACACAAUAUGAACAUUAAAACCAUGAGAAUCUGUCCCUCUCUCACUCUGUUCUUUGGCUAUGUCUAUUUGUUGUGUAUGACUUUGAUGGUGCACUGUCUGUAUAUUUACACAUCUUGGUUGUCUCAAAUGGCAUCCUCUACAGUGCACACUACCCAUAGGGCUCUGGUCAAAAUUAGUGCACUGUAUAGGCAAUAGGGUGCCAUUUAGGACGCACACCAUAUCUUUUUACUGUUUUAUAUUGUAUGACAUCACAUUUGAUGUGUUUUCUAGAUAUGUACCAAUAUGUUAUAAUAAACCUGAACCUAAUCCUAAACUUAAUCCUUAUCUAAACAUAAUCCUAAACUUAAA
This is a long non-coding RNA of Oncorhynchus keta (chum salmon), 2107 nucleotides long. RefSeq lists it as uncharacterized. NCBI's taxonomy places the organism in Eukaryota, Metazoa, Chordata, Actinopteri, Salmoniformes, Salmonidae. The record is from RefSeq and is a predicted model, not a curated record. The transcript has 5 exons.